UACGAAGGGGGCUAGCGUUGUUCGGAAUUACUGGGCGUAAAGGGCGCGUAGGCGGUUUUGUAAGUUGGAUGUGAAAGCCCAGGGCUCAACCCUGGAACUGCAUUCAAGACUGCAAGACUUGAAUUCGGUAGAGGUUGGUGGAAUUCCCAGUGUAGAGGUGAAAUUCGUAGAUAUUGGGAAGAAUAUCCGUGGCGAAGGCGGCCAACUGGACCGACAUUGACGCUGAGGCGCGAAAGCGUGGGGAGCAAACAGGAUUAGAUACCCUGGUAGUCCACGCCGUAAACGAUGUAUGCUAGACGUUGGAAACCUCUGGUUUCUUGUGUCGCAGCUAACGCAUUAAGCAUACCGCCUGGGGAGUACGGCCGCAAGGUUGAA
RNAcentral lists this ribosomal RNA (375 nucleotides) under uncultured bacterium. RNAcentral describes it as "bacterial SSU rRNA". It matches the Rfam family "Bacterial small subunit ribosomal RNA", at positions 524 to 898 of the family's 1533-position model. The record is from RNAcentral.